GAUCCUGGCUCAGAUUGAACGCUGGCGGAACGCUUUACACAUGCAAGUCGAACGGUAACGCGGAGAGAAGCUUGCUUCUCACCGGCGACGAGUGGCGAACGGGUGAGUAAUACAUCGGAACGUGUCCGCUCGUGGGGGACAACCAGCCGAAAGGUCGGCUAAUACCGCAUGAGUUCUACGGAAGAAAGAGGGGGACCCGCAAGGGCCUCUCGCGAGCGGAGCGGCCGAUGACUGAUUAGCCGGUUGGUGAG
RNAcentral lists this ribosomal RNA (251 nucleotides) under uncultured bacterium. RNAcentral describes it as "partial 16S ribosomal RNA". It matches the Rfam family "Bacterial small subunit ribosomal RNA", at positions 15 to 256 of the family's 1533-position model. The record is from RNAcentral.